Maniola jurtina (meadow brown) is the source of this 96-nucleotide long non-coding RNA. RefSeq lists it as uncharacterized. The record is from RefSeq and is a predicted model, not a curated record. Lineage: Eukaryota; Metazoa; Arthropoda; Insecta; Lepidoptera; Nymphalidae. The transcript has 3 exons.
AGUGAGAGGUAAAAUCUUAUACUGAGUGAACAUACGUAUAUCACAAAUUUCGUCACUAGCAGCAAGCGAAUCGUGGCUUAGCGGUCAGAGCGUCGG